GGAAGUAAAACUCGUAACAAGGUUUCCGUAGGUGAACCUGCGGAAGGAUCAUUACAGAGUUCAUGCCCUCACGGGUAGAUCUCCCACCCUUGAAUAUUUAUACCUUAGUUGCUUUGGCAGGCCGUGGAAACACCAUGGGCUCCGGCUUAUGCGUGCCUGCCAGAGGAAACAAACUCUGUUUUUAGUGAUGUCUGAGUACUAUAUAAUAGUUAAAACUUUCAACAACGGAUCUCUUGGUUCUG
This 242-nucleotide unclassified non-coding RNA is filed under the name plant metagenome. Its description in RNAcentral is "partial contains small subunit ribosomal RNA, internal transcribed spacer 1, and 5.8S ribosomal RNA". The stretch from base 1 to 54 matches the Rfam family "Eukaryotic small subunit ribosomal RNA", at positions 1778 to 1831 of the family's 1831-position model. The record is from RNAcentral.